RNAcentral lists this ribosomal RNA (497 nucleotides) under uncultured bacterium. Its description in RNAcentral is "partial 16S ribosomal RNA". It matches the Rfam family "Bacterial small subunit ribosomal RNA", at positions 28 to 507 of the family's 1533-position model. The record is from RNAcentral.
GAUGAACGCUGGCGGCGUGCCUAAUACAUGCAAGUCGAGCGAACAGACGAGGAGCUUGCUCCUCUGACGUUAGCGGCGGACGGGUGAGUAACACGUGGAUAACCUACCUAUAAGACUGGGAUAACUUCGGGAAACCGGAGCUAAUACCGGAUAAUAUAUUGAACCGCAUGGUUCAAUAGUGAAAGACGGUUUUGCUGUCACUUAUAGAUGGAUCCGCGCCGCAUUAGCUAGUUGGUAAGGUAACGGCUUACCAAGGCGACGAUGCGUAGCCGACCUGAGAGGGUGAGCGGGCAGACGGGAACGGAGACACGGUCAGGAGACCAACGGGAGGGCGCAGUAGGGAAGGGUGGGCAAUGGGCGACAGCAUGAUAAAACAAGUGUACGAGAGUAAAAAAAAUGUUGAAGUAGUAAAGCACUUUUAUAAGGUACCAAAAAAUAAGUCCGUGACUAAGCACGUGGGGGCGGUAGCGAAACAGAAAGGGACGGCUAACUCCGUG